RNAcentral lists this ribosomal RNA (308 nucleotides) under uncultured bacterium. Its description in RNAcentral is "partial 16S ribosomal RNA". It matches the Rfam family "Bacterial small subunit ribosomal RNA", at positions 1 to 334 of the family's 1533-position model. The record is from RNAcentral.
GUCUAGUACUCAAGUUUGAUCCUGGCUCAGAACGAACGCUGGCGGCAGGCUUAACACGAUGCAAGUCGGGCGCCCCGCAAGGGGAGCGGCAGACGGGUGAGUAACGCGUGGGAAUCUACCCUUUUCUACGGAAUAACGCAGGGAAACUUGUGCUAAUACCGGUAUGUGUCCUUCGGGAGAAAGAUUUAUCGGGAAAGGAUGAGCCCGCGUUGGAUUAGCUAGUUGGUGGGGUAAAGGCCUACCAAGGCGACGACCCAUAGCUGGUCUGAGAGGAUGAUCAGCCACAUUGGGACUGAGACACGGCCCAA